UGUAACAACUCUCAACAACGGAUAUCUCGACUCUCACAUCGAUGAAAAACAUAGCAAAAUGCGAUACUUGUGUGAAUUGGAGAAUCCCAUGAACCAUCAAGUCUUUGAAUGCAAGUUAAGCAUGAAGCCUUCCUGUCAAGCGCACAUCUGCUGGAUGUCACAC
This 163-nucleotide ribosomal RNA is filed under the name Selenicereus costaricensis. RNAcentral's name for it is "Hylocereus costaricensis 5.8S ribosomal RNA". It matches the Rfam family "5.8S ribosomal RNA". From Rfam's summary of the family: 5.8S ribosomal RNA (5.8S rRNA) is a component of the large subunit of the eukaryotic ribosome. It is transcribed by RNA polymerase I as part of the 45S precursor that also contains 18S and 28S rRNA. Lineage: Eukaryota; Viridiplantae; Streptophyta; Magnoliopsida; Caryophyllales; Cactaceae. The record is from RNAcentral.